AACGACCAGCACAAGGGACAAAUAAUAGCAUGGAAAACAACACUCAUCAACUCUUAACUACAACCCUUAGAGGCAUAUCAUCAUUAAUGUUGUUUGUAAAGGAGGAGCCAAGACAACAUCUCAAAAGCUUAUAGACCAUGAACACCAUCCUGUGACAAGCCUCAGAUUUCACAGGUCUGGCCUGCAACUUUACAAUAGUUUUGCUAGAACUGAGUGUCAUGGUCCAAAUGUAGCAGUAGGACAGGACGAAGUGGUUGAGGCCAAACCUGCACAAAACUAUCCAUCUUGAGCAAUGAGAGGCCAUAGAGAUUAAGUGGUAUCAGCAAGUUGACAAGGCCUCGCUGAUUGCAGUCAACCAAGAGCUCCCUGGUGGUGGCAGGAUGGUUACCCUGUGCAUCGCUAGGGGUCAUCAAAACAGAGAAAAUAUCCAUUUAGUAGUAAAGAGAGAAGUUACGAAAGAAAACUUUUCACACAAAAUCAGAACAUGGAUCCAUAUCAGAGCUAGAAUACUUUUCACAAAUAAUCAGAAUUGCGAUCCAUAUCAGAUCAUGAAAACAUUUUACUGAGUCAAUACCGAUACUGAUAUGAGCCAGUUUUUUAGACUAUAAGAUAUGAACCAGUUUAUAGAAUUGAAAAUCAAGAAACUGCAGUAAUACAGAUUAAAUAUGCAAAUUUCGGCAAUGAACUACUAGGAUCGCUUAAACUGGAAUUUCAAAUAACAUAUACAGAGGCACUAUAGUUCCAUUACGACAUAAUCAUAUUCUCACAAUCCGAGCCGAAAAUAGUACUCAUGUGAUGAGAAGAAACGUUGUAGGUAGAGAGGUCAGUGAAGACAUAGAUCGAGGUGGGUGUGGCCGGCGAUGAUGUAGCAACAAGGUCGCCCACUACAGAGACAUCAAUGAGUGAUAGUGCUUAGGAGGGAGGAGGUGGCCACCACUACUCACCUUCUCUAGCUCAUCAUCGUCAUCAUCAAUAUUAUUGUUCUGCUGAAGCUAACCUUCGCAUAAGAAAUCCUUGUGUAGCAUCCGAGUUUGGACCUUGGAUAUAUGCUAAGGUGCCAAGCCUAAAUCAUGUUAACCAGUGUCUAGAUUAAUCAUUUUGAACUAGUGUUUGCUCAAAACAAAGGAAACAACCAAUGUGACAUAUCUUAUAAUUAUUGAAAAGUAAGGCAAUAUAUUUAAGGGAAAUGUUUCCCAUGUUCUAUAUUCAAAAAAAUAUAGAAUAUUGGUCUAAUAUGAUUUAAAAUCGCCAAAUCACAAGAACUAAAAUAUCAUUGAAAUGAACAGGGUUACAUGUACAUGAUCUGUAAUAUUUCAUCGUACAUAAUCUUCACUUCUCUCAUCUUCUUCAUCAGGCAAUGGGCCAAUGCAUUAUUUCAUCGUCGCUGUCGGCUGUCACAAGAGGCUAACAUGCAAUCAGGCACACAAAUGUUGAAAAGCGUGAGUGUGCAGAGAAGAGGAUGAGAUGCACAUGCCUUGCCAUGCUCGCGGACCAACUGUAGAUGUAACUAUCCUCUAUCCAAUGCUGCAGGUCCCAGAUUCAAAGCGUCCUCCUCGCUGGGCCAGCAGACGGCUGUGCCGGGGUAGCCGAACCGCUACAGGUCGCGACCUAGGGAGGCGGUGGUGCCGUGCUUUCUCAUACACAACGGAGUGGGGUGGCAGCGGCUGGCCCCCUUUGCCGCGGCAGGUGCGGCGCAUGGUGCUACGACGCGAGUGAGAGGAGGAGGAGAUGGGCGGGUGGCCGGUGCGGUGGUUGCUGCGGGAGAGAUGGGCCGCCGUUGGGUGGUCACGGACUCGCGGGAGGGAGCCAGGGAGGGACGCCGGGUAGUUCGAGAUUGGGAGAGAGGUCUGGAGAUGGAGAUGGAGAUUGGGUCAGGGAGAAGGUGGAGGACGUGGGUUCUGCCCUGUUUUUGCGUCGGUGUGGUGCGCGAUGUUUUCGCCAGAUUUUUUUUCGUGCGUGCUAUCGUACGAGGGGAGGAAAG
RNAcentral lists this long non-coding RNA (1981 nucleotides) under Triticum aestivum (bread wheat). Its description in RNAcentral is "long non-coding RNA (TAES_LNC027624)". The record is from RNAcentral. Lineage: Eukaryota; Viridiplantae; Streptophyta; Magnoliopsida; Poales; Poaceae.